GGUUAUGAUUACUGCUCAUUGGCUGAUUUGAGGCUUGAAGAUGGAUGAUUGUUAGAAUGAGUUGAGAUGCGCUGCGUUUCGUGAUUGGUGUCAAUGGACAUGUAAUACUACUUCAAGAGACAUUAUCAUGCAUCGUCAUUAAAGCUACUCUUAUAACCCUAGUAGUCGUCUUCCCCAAUCGAGCUAGUAAUUACUUGUAUCAGGAAACUUCUGGGUUUGUACUUUUUUAACCUUUAAAUGCCAAAAGAUAUAUUAAAUCA
This is a long non-coding RNA of Salvia miltiorrhiza (redroot sage), 260 nucleotides long. RefSeq lists it as uncharacterized. The transcript has 2 exons. The record is from RefSeq and is a predicted model, not a curated record. Lineage: Eukaryota; Viridiplantae; Streptophyta; Magnoliopsida; Lamiales; Lamiaceae.